This is a long non-coding RNA of Capsicum annuum, 1814 nucleotides long. RefSeq lists it as uncharacterized. The transcript has 2 exons. The record is from RefSeq and is a predicted model, not a curated record. NCBI's taxonomy places the organism in Eukaryota, Viridiplantae, Streptophyta, Magnoliopsida, Solanales, Solanaceae.
ACCACCAAAUCUCCCUCAUUCCUUCCAGUUACCUAUACCUUAUCCCAAUUGAUAAUAAAUAAAGAUUGCUUGUUGGCUGCUGCUAUGUAGUGUGACCUCAAUAGAUUUUUAAUAAUGAUUAGAAAAAUAAAGAACCACAAAACUCUGUCCAUAAAAAAUUUAUAUAGAGUCUCGGUUUAAUCCUCUUCCUUUUCUUCACUUUCAUACUCUUUGUUUUCGGGUGAUCAUAGUGUGGACAUGAAAAGAUCAAACUUCAAAAAAGCUACUUUGUGGAGGAAAAUGUCCAAACUUUGUGGAACAUAUGAACAAUAAAAUUAAACUAUCCCAAGAGAAUGAAUGAGUUGAUGUUCUUUGUGGAUCAUGUCUUUGACUGCUCCUCGAUGUAUCUAAACUCUUUUUUUUUUGUAAUCUCUGUAUAUCUAAGUAAUAUAUGUAUAUAGUGAGUCAAAUUUGACGUUUAGAUAUUUUUCUAGAGCUGGUUUAGGGACGAUUAAGGGUAUGGCUGUAAAUAUGCUCACUUUCAAGGGUAAAUAUUAAUAUCAAUAAAACACCUAUAGUCCUCAACAUAAUUCUGGAAAACUCCUUACCCUUUCAGCCUUUCAAUUGUUCUUUAAGAGCUAAUGUCUGCAAUUUAAGGGCAAUUAUUCUCUGAAGUUUUUGCUUAAACUUGUUUCUGCUCUCUUCAAAUUGCUCAAUUUUAUUUGUUAAUUUCAUUGUUGUUGUCGUUAUUAUCCAUCUUGAUUUUGUCAUUAUAUUUUUUCAUUUAUAUGAUCUAUUUUUCUGCAUUUAUUGUUCUAAUAGAAGAUAUAAAAAGAUUCAUCAAUACUCAUAUUUUUCUGCACAUUUCUUGGUUUGCUUUUGUUUACCUGGUACUUCUGUAAUUUCAAAUGAAUUUUUUAUUAGAUAAUGUUGUAUAAUACAUGUUAACUUCUUUGUAAUCGAUCUUGUUUUAGAUGGAGACAGUGUAUAACUGAGGCUAGCAAUUUAUUUUAUUUUUGUUCCUUGUAACUCUACAUCUUCUUGAUGUCAUUUUUUUAAAGAAAAAUAUGAAACACCUUCAUCAAAAAUGAUAGCUUUAGGAUAUUGAACUAUGGAAAGAGUGUUUGGGUUGAAGAGGUUAUUGCAGCUCUGACUUUUAGGAGAGUUGCAGAUGGUUAUUAUAUAAUAUCACUUGAAUCAAUACAACUAUCCAAAUAGGGAAUGGAAGAAUAACCUACAACCAAAAAAUCUCUCGUAAACCAACAAUUCUAUUUUUGUUGAAGUACUUUAGGUUUAGAAUGCUUAAAUAUUUCAACUGAUUAGUAUGUGUUGUUUUUCAGGCCUAUGGCACAGAUAAGAUGGAAGUUAGAGCUACACUUCCAUGAUGACCGUGUUUGCAUUUUUUGAUCGGUUUUUGAUACACACAUGAGAUAAACCUGUAACACAGCAAAUAAUUGGUGAUGGUAAAAUCAUUUGGCUUCAUCAGAUAUUUGAUAGUGAGGAAUGUUCCGGCAUUGGGUUGUGCUGAUCAGCUCUCUCAACUUUUCUCCACUUACGGUCAAAUCCAAGAAUGCGCCCUCUCCAUUCCUGUCUUUGGGGUUACUGUUAUUGUGAAUUUAAAGUCUUUUGGUUUGUUUUUAUCUUGUGCGUUCUUUACUGUAUCAGAAACAUCCGUGGUAUGGUCUGUGUACACUUACCCUCACUUUGUGGGUAUGUUGUUCUUGGGUCCGUUUCUAUAUGAAUCCUUGCUUUGAAUCUUCAAUGUUCUUAAUAGAGUACUUUUUAACUCUAUUUAGUUAGUUCCCAAAGGAGUAUGGCAUAUGAUCCUUUUCCUA